AUAGUCAAUUUAUUAUAAAUUUUUAUAUGAACAAACUCGAUUGCACUAUUCUCGAACUUAUCAAUAUGUUGGUCACUACAGAGGGAAUCUUAAAGAGUUCAAGGGGUACUGUUCUCACAAUGGAGCAAAUUUCUUCCAAGAGAAAGUCUACUGGGAAGAAGAGGGUUAAAUCCGCUAAGAAGCAGAAGAAGGAGAAUAGGCCAA
Molecule: long non-coding RNA, 204 nt
Filed under: Elaeis guineensis (African oil palm)
Lineage: Eukaryota; Viridiplantae; Streptophyta; Magnoliopsida; Arecales; Arecaceae
Description: long non-coding RNA (EGUI_LNC079503)
Source: RNAcentral